Molecule: long non-coding RNA, 523 nt
Organism: Xenopus laevis (African clawed frog)
Lineage: Eukaryota; Metazoa; Chordata; Amphibia; Anura; Pipidae
Exons: 2
Source: RefSeq, a predicted model, not a curated record
GGUAGAUACACGUGAGGUCUGCACAAGAGAAGUGUGUUUGGGAACUGCUCUCCUGACUGGGAGUUCAACAUUUUGCAAGGCUAGCCACCAAGACCCCCUCCAACAUCCACACCUUCUAUUGCGCUCCUACUCACCACCUGCUGCCAUUUUGACAGCACCUGCAACUGACAAGGACAGUGAUUGACAGCCAGAGGGAGGAUAAGGUGGGCAAUUCCCUCCUUAUAAAAAGGGAACCCAUUUGUGUCUGACAUAGACAUGCAGAGGGAGAGAGAGGUUGCCGUUAAUAAGAAGUUUGAGCAGUGACUGACCAUAGCUCUCGCUGGCCAGACAACUCACCCAUUUGUCAACCCGUGUCUGCAAGUACGUUCUCCUGACUGUACCUUAAUGGUCCAAGGAACCUAAAAGUCAUGUUGGACCACAGGGUGAAAUUUCCACAAUCCGUGUAUGUAUUUGUAAUAUUGUGGCACUCUUUUCAAGUUUUAUUUAUAACUGAAUAUUUUAUCAAUAAAUAUUCUACAUGAAA